AGCGUACACGGUGGAUGCCCUGGCAGUCAGAGGCGAUGAAGGACGUGCUAAUCUGCGAUAAGCGUCGGUAAGGUGAUAUGAACCGUUAUAACCGGCGAUUUCCGAAUGGGGAAACCCAGUGUGAUUCGUCACACUAUCAUUAACUGAAUCCAUAGGUUAAUGAGGCGAACCGGGGGAACUGAAACAUCUAAGUACCCCGAGGAAAAGAAAUCAACCGAGAUUCCCCCAGUAGCGGCGAGCGAACGGGGAGCAGCCCAGAGCCUGAAUCAGUGUGUGUGUUAGUGGAAGCGUCUGGAAAGGCGCGCGAUACAGGGUGACAGCCCCGUACACAAAAAUGCACAUGCUGUGAGCUCGAUGAGUAGGGCGGGACACGUGGUAUCCUGUCUGAAUAUGGGGGGACCAUCCUCCAAGGCUAAAUACUCCUGACUGACCGAUAGUGAACCAGUACCGUGAGGGAAAGGCGAAAAGAACCCCGGCGAGGGGAGUGAAAAAGAACCUGAAACCGUGUACGUACAAGCAGUGGGAGCCUCUUUAUGGGGUGACUGCGUACCUUUUGUAUAAUGGGUCAGCGACUUAUAUUCUGUAGCAAGGUUAACCGAAUAGGGGAGCCGAAGGGAAACCGAGUCUUAACUGGGCGUUAAGUUGCAGGGUAUAGACCCGAAACCCGGUGAUCUAGCCAUGGGCAGGUUGAAGGUUGGGUAACACUAACUGGAGGACCGAACCGACUAAUGUUGAAAAAUUAGCGGAUGACUUGUGGCUGGGGGUGAAAGGCCAAUCAAACCGGGAGAUAGCUGGUUCUCCCCGAAAGCUAUUUAGGUAGCGCCUCGUGAAUUCAUCUCCGGGGGUAGAGCACUGUUUCGGCAAGGGGGUCAUCCCGACUUACCAACCCGAUGCAAACUGCGAAUACCGGAGAAUGUUAUCACGGGAGACACACGGCGGGUGCUAACGUCCGUCGUGAAGAGGGAAACAACCCAGACCGCCAGCUAAGGUCCCAAAGUCAUGGUUAAGUGGGAAACGAUGUGGGAAGGCCCAGACAGCCAGGAUGUUGGCUUAGAAGCAGCCAUCAUUUAAAGAAAGCGUAAUAGCUCACUGGUCGAGUCGGCCUGCGCGGAAGAUGUAACGGGGCUAAACCAUGCACCGAAGCUGCGGCAGCGACACUAUGUGUUGUUGGGUAGGGGAGCGUUCUGUAAGCCUGCGAAGGUGUACUGUGAGGUAUGCUGGAGGUAUCAGAAGUGCGAAUGCUGACAUAAGUAACGAUAAAGCGGGUGAAAAGCCCGCUCGCCGGAAGACCAAGGGUUCCUGUCCAACGUUAAUCGGGGCAGGGUGAGUCGACCCCUAAGGCGAGGCCGAAAGGCGUAGUCGAUGGGAAACAGGUUAAUAUUCCUGUACUUGGUGUUACUGCGAAGGGGGGACGGAGAAGGCUAUGUUGGCCGGGCGACGGUUGUCCCGGUUUAAGCGUGUAGGCUGGUUUUCCAGGCAAAUCCGGAAAAUCAAGGCUGAGGCGUGAUGACGAGGCACUACGGUGCUGAAGCAACAAAUGCCCUGCUUCCAGGAAAAGCCUCUAAGCAUCAGGUAACAUCAAAUCGUACCCCAAACCGACACAGGUGGUCAGGUAGAGAAUACCAAGGCGCUUGAGAGAACUCGGGUGAAGGAACUAGGCAAAAUGGUGCCGUAACUUCGGGAGAAGGCACGCUGAUACGUAGGUGAAGUCCCUUGCGGAUGGAGCUGAAAUCAGUCGAAGAUACCAGCUGGCUGCAACUGUUUAUUAAAAACACAGCACUGUGCAAACACGAAAGUGGACGUAUACGGUGUGACGCCUGCCCGGUGCCGGAAGGUUAAUUGAUGGGGUUAGCGCAAACGCGAAGCUCUUGAUCGAAGCCCCGGUAAACGGCGGCCGUAACUAUAACGGUCCUAAGGUAGCGAAAUUCCUUGUCGGGUAAGUUCCGACCUGCACGAAUGGCGUAAUGAUGGCCAGGCUGUCUCCACCCGAGACUCAGUGAAAUUGAACUCGCUGUGAAGAUGCAGUGUACCCGCGGCAAGACGGAAAGACCCCGUGAACCUUUACUAUAGCUUGACACUGAACAUUGAGCCUUGAUGUGUAGGAUAGGUGGGAGGCUUUGAAGUGUGGACGCCAGUCUGCAUGGAGCCGACCUUGAAAUACCACCCUUUAAUGUUUGAUGUUCUAACGUUGGCCCCUAAUCGGGGUUGCGGACAGUGUCUGGUGGGUAGUUUGACUGGGGCGGUCUCCUCCUAAAGAGUAACGGAGGAGCACGAAGGUUGGCUAAUCCUGGUCGGACAUCAGGAGGUUAGUGCAAUGGCAUAAGCCAGCUUGACUGCGAGCGUGACGGCGCGAGCAGGUGCGAAAGCAGGUCAUAGUGAUCCGGUGGUUCUGAAUGGAAGGGCCAUCGCUCAACGGAUAAAAGGUACUCCGGGGAUAACAGGCUGAUACCGCCCAAGAGUUCAUAUCGACGGCGGUGUUUGGCACCUCGAUGUCGGCUCAUCACAUCCUGGGGCUGAAGUAGGUCCCAAGGGUAUGGCUGUUCGCCAUUUAAAGUGGUACGCGAGCUGGGUUUAGAACGUCGUGAGACAGUUCGGUCCCUAUCUGCCGUGGGCGCUGGAGAACUGAGGGGGGCUGCUCCUAGUACGAGAGGACCGGAGUGGACGCAUCACUGGUGUUCGGGUUGUCAUGCCAAUGGCACUGCCCGGUAGCUAAAUGCGGAAGAGAUAAGUGCUGAAAGCAUCUAAGCACGAAACUUGCCCCGAGAUGAGUUCU
This 2773-nucleotide ribosomal RNA is filed under the name Escherichia coli. Its description in RNAcentral is "bacterial LSU rRNA". It matches the Rfam family "Bacterial large subunit ribosomal RNA". The record is from RNAcentral. Lineage: Bacteria; Pseudomonadati; Pseudomonadota; Gammaproteobacteria; Enterobacterales; Enterobacteriaceae.